AGUGAACGCUGGCGGUAGGCCUAACACAUGCAAGUCGAACGGCAGCACAGUAAGAGCUUGCUCUUACGGGAGGCGAGUGGCGGACGGGUGAGGAAUACAUCGGAAUCUACUUUUUCGUGGAGGAUAACGUAGGGAAACUUACGCUAAUACCGCAUACGACCUACGGGUGAAAGCAGGGGAUCUUCGGACCUUGCGCGAUUGAAUGAGCCGAUGUCGGAUUAGCUAGUUGGCGGGGUAAAGGCCCACCAAGGCGACGAUCCGUAGCUGGUCUGAGAGGAUGAUCAGCCACACUGGAACUGAGACACGGUCCAGACUCCUACGGGAGGCAGCAGUGGGGAAUAUUGGACAAUGGGCGCAAGCCUGAUCCAGCCAUACCACGUGGGUGAAGAAGGCCUUCGGGUUGUAAAGCCCUUUUGUUGGGAAAGAAAAGCAGCAGGUUAAUACCCCGCUGUUCUGACGGUACCCAAAGAAUAAGCACCGGCUAACUUCGUG
Molecule: ribosomal RNA, 492 nt
Filed under: uncultured bacterium
Lineage: Bacteria
Description: partial 16S ribosomal RNA
Rfam family: Bacterial small subunit ribosomal RNA
Source: RNAcentral